RNAcentral lists this ribosomal RNA (254 nucleotides) under uncultured bacterium. Its description in RNAcentral is "partial 16S ribosomal RNA". It matches the Rfam family "Bacterial small subunit ribosomal RNA", at positions 524 to 776 of the family's 1533-position model. The record is from RNAcentral.
CACGUAGGGGGCGAGCGUUGUCCGGAUUUAUUGGGCGUAAAGAGCUCGUAGGUGGCUUAGUAAGUCGGGUGUGAAACCUCCAGGCUCAACCUGGAGACGCCACCCGAUACUGCUAUAGCUUGAGUCCGGUAGGGGAGCGUGGAAUUCCUAGUGUAGCGGUGAAAUGCGCAGAUAUCAGGAGGAACACCAGCGGCGAAGGCGGCGCUCUGGGCCGUAACUGACGCUGAGGAGCGAAAGCGUGGGGAGCGAACAGG